This 276-nucleotide long non-coding RNA is filed under the name Olea europaea subsp. europaea. Lineage: Eukaryota; Viridiplantae; Streptophyta; Magnoliopsida; Lamiales; Oleaceae. The record is from RNAcentral.
CUAUUUUUGUAAUUUGUAUUUAUUUUUCAAAGUUACAAUUUUCAGUACAGAGGUUCUUUUCCUAAGCUAAAUAAGAUAUAAAUCCUAGCUUCUUUGACAUAAUAAUGAGUUUUCGCAGGGCGCCCGAUAAUCUUUCGUUUACGAUAUUUGACAAUUUAGCGUUUCUGCGCAUGACCGUAGCAAAAAUUAACAUGGGGGCCAGACGACUUACGUGAAAUUUCCUGAUAACAGACGAGUUCCGUGCGCCCCUCGAAAACUCUCUAUUGACUCGUCUGU